RNAcentral lists this ribosomal RNA (254 nucleotides) under uncultured bacterium. Its description in RNAcentral is "partial 16S ribosomal RNA". It matches the Rfam family "Bacterial small subunit ribosomal RNA", at positions 524 to 776 of the family's 1533-position model. The record is from RNAcentral.
UACGUAGGGACCAAGCGUUGUUCGGAUUUACUGGGCGUAAAGGGCGCGUAGGCGGCGUGACAAGUCACUUGUGAAAUCUCUGGGCUUAACCCAGAACGGCCAAGUGAAACUGUUGUGCUAGAGUGCAGAAGGGGCAAUCGGAAUUCUCGGUGUAGCGGUGAAAUGCGUAGAUAUCGAGAGGAACACCUGAGGUGAAGACGGGUUGCUGGGCCGACACUGACGCUGAUAGCGCGAAAGCCAGGGGAGCAAACGGG